Long non-coding RNA from Manis pentadactyla (Chinese pangolin), 5864 nucleotides. RefSeq lists it as uncharacterized. The transcript is spliced from 2 exons. NCBI's taxonomy places the organism in Eukaryota, Metazoa, Chordata, Mammalia, Pholidota, Manidae. The record is from RefSeq and is a predicted model, not a curated record.
UUACGUUUGUGUGUUUACCAUUACUAGAGAACUUUAUAUUUCCAUAUGGCCUUGAGUUCCUGUUUAGCAUCCUUUAGUUUCAAUUUGAAGGGCUUCUUUUAGCAUUUCUUGUAGGCUGUAUCUCUCACCUAUGAAGGAUAUUUUUGCUGGUUAUGAAGUUCCCCAUUCUCAUUUGACAGUUUACAUUCUUUCAGUUCUUUAAACAUAUCAUACACUGCCUUCCAGCCUGGAAGGUUUCUUCUGAAAAUUUCACUGAUGGUUUUAUGGGGAUCUCUUGUAUGAGAUGUGUCUUUCCUCUCUUGCUGCUUUCAAGAUUCUCCUGUGUCUUUGACUUUUGACAGUCGGAUUAUGUCUCAGAAUGGAUCCUGUGUGUUUGGCUGUUUGAAGUUCAUUGAGGUUAUUUGUACAUUCAUGCCUUUCUUCAGUUUCAGGGAAGUUUUAGACAUUAUUUAGCCUCAAAUCAUCUCCAUGCCCUUGCUCUCUCUUUUGGAACUCCCAUAAUGCUUACAUUGAAUUUUUCUAACUGCAUAGAAUAAGUAAAUCCUGUAUCAAGCAAUUUUAUUCAGUUGGAAUUAUUUGCAAUCUAAUAUAGCAAGAUAAUAGCAUUAUUAGUGUGCAAAAUGUUUAUCUUUUUUUAAUUGAAUUAUAGUUGACAUACAAACUUAUGCUGGUUUCAAGUAUACAACACAGUGGUACAACAGUUCCCCCUAUUAAAUCCUCAACCUGACUAGUGCAGUUACUAUCAGUCAGCAUAAGAUGUUAGAGAAUCAUUGGCUAUAUUCUCCAUGCUGUACUCCAAUCCCUGUCACCAACUUAUGAUUGAGAAUUAUUGUACCCCUUUAUCCCCCUUUCCUUCCUCACCCACUCAUCCCAACCCUUCCCCUGUUAACCACAUCACUUCUCAGUUGUCUAUGAGUCUACUUCUAUUUUGUACCUUUUGUUUGUACCUUAUUGUUCCACAAUAAGUGAAAUCAUGUGGUAUUUGUCUUUCUUUGCUUGGCUUAUUUCACUUAGCAUAAUAUGCUCUACAUUCAUUACUAUUGUCACAAAAGGCAAGAUUUUUCUUUUUCAAAGCUGAAUAUUCCAUCUUGCAUAUGUACCACAUCUUCUUUAUGCAUUCAUCUAUUGAAGGACACUUUAGUUGCUUCCAUACCUUGGCUGUUGUAAAUAAUGCAGCAAUAAACUUAGGGGAGCAUGUAUCUUUUUGAAUCAGGGAUUUUGUUUUCUUUGGGUAAAUUCCUGGACGUGGGAUUUCUUGGAUGUAUGGUAUUUCUAUUUUGGGUUUUUUGAGGAACCUUCAUACUGCUUCUCCACAGUGUCUGCAACAACUGACAUUCCCACCAACAGUGUAGGAGGGUUCCCGUUUCUCCACAUCCUUGCCAACACUUGUUAUUUCUUGUUUUUUGGAUAGUCUUUGUCAUGUAUAUCUGUCAGGCCCCUUCCCUGUCUCUGACCCACAGAUGAGGGAAGAGACACGAUUGUUCGUCGAAGACCUAAGGACCAGCCAGGGAACUCAAGGCGUGACAGCGCAACAGUGGUGCCGGAAAGGCAGCUCUCAUAUUUAUUGAUAAAAUGGUUAACAAUAGUAAGAUUCUGUAUUGGGGUCUCCAUGCACAAUCAUUAAUCAAGUCCAACUCUCAACAGUUUCAACCUUCUGACACAUAAUGAACAAAUCCUCAUGGUGAACAAAUACAGAAACUGAUUCGGUCUUGGCUACCUGUCUUAACUACGAAUGAUCAUGAACUAUAAAUAAUCAAGGCAAAUGUGAUUACACAUAUGGUUUUUAUACUUUAGAUUAUAUUUAAUAUAUGAAUUCCCACAAUAUCUAAUUGGUAUAUCUCUUCAUGGAUAUUUUCUGGAGAUUCACUUGGUUUCUCUAAAUGGGCCCUGUUUUCAUGUUUCUUUGUAUUGGUGAUCUUUUGUUGAAAUUUGGGUAUUUGAAGAAACAGGUAACUCCUAGUUUUAGGAGGUUUAUAAGGAAGCCCUUCAUAGGAACAGCCUGAGGUAUAAAUAACCUUAAGUUUUACAUCUUUCCUGGCCAUACAUCCUUUUUGGCCUAUGUAUGUGUUUUUUUUUUCUUAUUCAUUUUUAUUGAUCUGCUUUUAGGUAUUUGAUUUCCUAAGAGUCUCAUCAUGCUCUUCUCAGUGCCUUAGAUGUUCUGUAUUCCUCUUCCUGUAAUGUCUUAGGUGUUUGUGCAUCUGUAGUUCCUUGUGAUUUUUGUGCACUGUGGCACCCAUCAACUGCCUUCUAUGGUUUCUAAGCUUAGAAUCAAACUAUGCCACGGUUCCUAGUCUAAGAUCCUAUUCAGGUGAAUUGGAGCCUACAGAUAGGUCAGUCCACUGCAAACAAGUUCCAGUCUUUUCUUUCCAUUUCAGAGAACUGAGAAUUGGGUCAUUUCUUCCCAGCUGUGGCAUGUCAUCUUGCAGAGGAGGUUGGGCAAGGGCACAUAAAAAUCUGCAGAAUUUCCCACCAUUUUGAAUGCAGUUUUUCCCUGGUUGGGUAUUCACUUGGUUACUUCAGAUAGCUGAUUUCCAGAGCUCCUAUAAAGUUGUUUUACCAGCUGGUAGUUUAUUUUUUGUUUCUCUGCGGAACAAGGGACCACAAUUUGCUCAUAUGCCAUUUUGCUGUAAAUUGACUUUUGGUAUUUACUAUGCCCUCUGCCUUCAUCAUUGAUAUAAAUAUUAGUGAGAUGCCUGCAUUACUAAUUAUGUAUGUUAAAAUAACCAUUAUGCAAGAAAAGAGGCAAUGAUGAGGCAGGAGUACAUUCCCAAAAUAGUGUGUGAAAAAGAAACAAUCUAUCACACUGUGGGGGGGUGGGGGGGAAGUACCAAGUAGAUUCUUUUUCUUUCUAUACUUGUUGCUUCUCUCACAACAGAAAAUGGUACAUCUUCCAGAUUAUGAAUAUUCUUACAAGGUUAGGAAAAAUUUUAAACAAGUUUUAAUUAUUUAGAUAUAGUUAUUAAUUAGAUUUUAAAUCUACAAUGUGCUCUGUUCUUUCUGUCCUCUAUAGUUGCCACACAGUCCAGAUUUUGCACCUACAGUCAUCUACACUUAGUCUUCUCUUCAAGUAAAUACUAUCCAUCCUUAUAGGCUCACAUCAAACUCCAUUGCUUUCUAGAAUUGGUCUCUGAAUGCUUAAGCUUACACUGCUCCUUGUCUUCUUUGUAUUCUUCUUAUAGGAAGUUACAAACUCGAACAUUUAGCUACUUAAGAGAGUUGAGAGGGAACCUUCAGUUAGUAGUGCAGUUACUGUUGUGACCCAGUGUCUAUCGCCCAGGUUAAAACAAAAAGAAAACACACUAGAAAUUCUUGUUCUAAGACCCUGCAAUGCUAGAAAGGAUGUAGAGACCAGGGAACUGGAAAUGGGCCAUCAUGUUGCGAAGGGACACUUUAAGAAGUGUCCACAGUGGAGAGCUAAGGGAAGGAAGAAUAAUGAGGACUUGAGGGAAGGUCUAGGGCUGAAGAGUUGCCCAUGGUUUUGUUGAGCACCAUAUUCUUUCCCAUAAGCAUUACUUUCAUCUCAGAUUUCUAUAUGUAUAUUGCUUUAAUUUCAUGUACCCAGCAUAUGAAAUCAAAUCUUCUUGGUUGUAUGAAGAUGAACUCAUAAUUCUGUCUGUGAAGUAAUGUAUUAGUUCAGGCAGGAGUAAGAUUCCUUCCUUCUUUCUGAAAGGUGAAAGCCAGGUAUUACAUGCAAGAGUUUGAUAUAUACUUUCCCACCUUAUUGGCAUAUUUUGCACCCUGACGUACACAUUAAAUGACACAAAGCUUUAGGGAUUACUUAGAAGAUAGAUGAAUCCUAUAAUUCUAAUUAAAAUGUUUCUAAUGUUCUUUGAAAAUGCUUCAGUGAAAGGUGGUCACUCAGAAUUCUUAAUUUUAUUCCAAUACUGAGGAAAGCAACCACUCAAAAAGAAUGUACUGAACCCCCUUCAGUGAUUGGAGAGGUCCGAGAUUAACCUUGAGAACCAAAAACAUGAAAAGGUUUGCGUGAAGUGCACACUGUAACCCAGCAUGAUUUAAAUUAUAAAAUUAUAUUGUUGACUAAAAUUAUGCAAACCACGGGCAAUGCAAAUUAUAAGUGAAUUAGGAGCUGUGGGCAGAAUCUUGAAAGAUUGGAGUUGUUACAUAUAUACAUCCUAAGCAAUACCGUAGGUUUGAUGUGAGUUUUUUUGUUUUCCAGUGACUGUUAGUGCAAAUCCCCUUAAUGUAUUUUGCAUGAUGUAGCGCCUGAAUUUUAACAGCAAGUAGAAAAAAAUUUUUUAACAUAAGAGUUAAAAGUUACCCUUUUCACUUAACUUCGUUGUAUGGUACAAACAAUCGCUUCCUGGGAUCCUGGGCAACUAGACCCCAAGAGGGAGAUCCAGUAAUUGAGCCCCUCCGACCCCUGGAAAGUGGGUUUUGUGCGCACCCUUGUCAGAGACAAUUGGAGAGUUUUGUCUUUCCUUUCGGCUAUUACGCAUUUGGUUUAGUUUAGACCCAGCUACUUCUACUCUAACCAAAAAAACCCAGAGUCCCACACUCAGGGUCUAAGGACCUCUGAGCCCUGACAGACAGCCCCAAAGACCUCCUGCUUCCUGCCCUCCAGCUCCUCUCGCACCGCCACGCAGCCGCUCGGGUGCAGAGGAGCCCGAACCUCCGGCUGCACCAGGACGCUGAGGCAUCCAGGACGGUUAUGGCCCAGGGGCCCCGCCUGUGGCUAGCCCUGCCCCUUCCCCAAAGGCUGGAGCCCCGGCAGGGGCCGCGAUGACGGGCGUGCUGCCACUCACGUGUCCACACUGCUGGCUGUCCGCGACCACGUUGCUGGCGACAGUCUUGGUGGCGGCGACGCUGGCCUUCUCGGAGCAGGCACUGAAGUACAGCUCCAUGGCCGCCCCAGGCCGGCUCUGCCCCUCUGUCACCUUCCCUGGAGCUAGCCCUCCAUCCUGACCUGACCGGAAAUGGCCAGUACUCUGCAUCCUCGAGGCUCCUCCCUUGCAGCCUUCUAGGCUCGGAACUGGGACAAUGGGGGACGGGGGUGUUGGCGCAGAAGGGUGACGUCCCACCUCCUGCCCCCUCCCGGCCUGGCCCCCCCUCGCAAGUGAGACCUGAGGGCAUCAGAGCUGGGAAGGAAGUCCUGUUGGCCUGCUCCAGAGGGUCAUGGUCCGAAGUGUCAUUUCUCUGGGAAACCCAACUCCCCUAAGUUAAACCAAACUGAAAAUAAAACAUAUAAAAGUUUGCUGGGGGAGAGGGGUAAGCUGGCUAAUUUCAACUCUCUUUAUCAAAACAUUAGUACUGAGUUUGGAGUGAGACUUAAAAGGAAGCUUUCCUAUAAGAUUUGUGGAUGAAUUUGGAAGUCAAAAGUUUCAGCCAGGAUGAUUUUGGUUAUCCUUGCAGCCAGUGUCCUUGUCUCAUGUAGAAAAUCUUUAUUGGGUAUUAUUUCCAUUUCACAUUCUUGUAGAACUUUGCUAUGCACUGUGUCAAUAACGUUUUGAACUAUACCUCUCUCCCCUGGGAGCAAACACAAUUGUUCCUCGGCAUUCUCUAGAAUGCUAACUUGAGCUUUUGAGAAUUCCUCUGCUAUCGAAUGUAUGAGUUUUUCAGCUUUAUCAAACAGUUCAUUUUCUGAAUCUUUUACAUAAAAUCACUGCCUCCUUUCUUCACCAAAAUAUGUAUAUGAACAAGGUAAUGAAUUUCCAUCCACAAAUGGCUGAUGUUGCUGACGUGUUUAAUGAUAACACCUGCUACUCUAUCAAUAAGAACAUCAUUAUCGCUUGUGGUGUUUUGCUCAACUAAUUCUUGAGACUCAGAGUUUUGUGAAAUAUUUUUUAAUACUGAGUCAACAAGAUGCUGAACAUCAUCUUUUGACUAAACAAACUUGGUUUCUUCUU